AUGUUAUCUCAGAUGCAUGUAUGCAGGUACUGGCCAAGGUGGGUUCUACACGUGCGUGUGGCCAAGAGCCCAAGACUACGUCAAGGUUCAGCGUACGGCUCACCUAGCAAUCCUGCAUCGACAUCGUCCUACACUACAUCUGCAUCGAGCCGGCAAACCUGCACCGUCGCCCACCACAAUCUUCGAGCCACGUCCAUAACCGCUGCACCAAGCUAUCUUCGCCAAGCGAUCUGCACCGACCCGCGCCACAUCAUCGAGUUGUACGACUACAUCGCAACUGAUAAAAAAAAAUCUUCGUCGAGUACAUCUACAAGAAGCGACCACGACAUGUACCAUCCACACGCCAGGCUGGUGUGGAAUGCGUGCAAUUCUUCAUCGACUUCUUCAGCACGACACGACAUCGACACCCCGUCGCCACGAGGGACGCCUCCAAGCGACGCAUCAUCGUCGACAUGUCGCUGCAUCGCCGACACUUCACCGCCAAGGUCUUCAUCAACAUGGUCUUCACCAACAUCAUCGUCGACACACCGCCACCGCCUCGUCCACAAGAUGGACACCUAG
This 561-nucleotide ribosomal RNA is filed under the name Triticum aestivum (bread wheat). RNAcentral's name for it is "partial small subunit ribosomal RNA". The record is from RNAcentral. Lineage: Eukaryota; Viridiplantae; Streptophyta; Magnoliopsida; Poales; Poaceae.